UGGGGGAUAUUGCACAAUGGGCGAAAGCCUGAUGCAGCGACGCCGCGUGGGGGAUGAAGGCCUUCGGGUUGUAAACUUCUUUUGCUCUGAACAAGGCAUGCCUUUGGGGUGUGUUGAGUGUAGGGGUUGAUUAGCGCCGGCUAACUACGUGCCAGCAGCCGCGGUAAUACGUAGGGCGCGAGCGUUGUCCGGAAUUAUUGGGCGUAAAGGGCUUGUAGGUGGCUGGUUGCGUCUGUCGUGAAAGCUCAUGGCUUAACUGUGGUUUUGCGGUGGGUACGGGCUGGCUUGAGUGCAGUAGGGGAGGCUGGAAUUCCUGGUGUAGCGGUGGAAUGCGAAGAUAUCAGGAGGAAUACCGGUGGCGAAGGCGGGUCUCUGGGCUGUUACUGACGCUGAGGAGCGAAAGCGUGGGGAGCGAACAGG
This 420-nucleotide ribosomal RNA is filed under the name Fusobacteriota bacterium. RNAcentral describes it as "Fusobacteria bacterium partial 16S ribosomal RNA". It matches the Rfam family "Bacterial small subunit ribosomal RNA", at positions 355 to 776 of the family's 1533-position model. The record is from RNAcentral. Lineage: Bacteria; Fusobacteriati; Fusobacteriota.